RNAcentral lists this unclassified non-coding RNA (969 nucleotides) under Hevea brasiliensis (rubber tree). Lineage: Eukaryota; Viridiplantae; Streptophyta; Magnoliopsida; Malpighiales; Euphorbiaceae. The record is from RNAcentral.
GUGUAGUUUGUUUUGAUUCCAAUAACCUUGUUGCUAUGACCUUGCGAAUUUGAGUAUUUGGCAAAUCUUCAAAAGAAUCUGACCGCUGUGGGUGAGAUUCUGGUAAAGCUGUGGUUGAAGCUUGUGAGCCUUUUUGAGAUGGAGCUGCUUUAUCCUUAGGUGUAGAUUUUCUUGAAGAUCCCUUUCCUGACUUAAUUGCAGCCCAAACAUCACUCUUUAGAAGAGUGCCAUGAUGACCAGAUGCCUUUAAUGAUGAUGCAUCCAAUCCAUACUCUGAAAUCAGCAACUUAGCAGAGGGGCUAAUCCUUGUAAAACUUGUCUUUUCUUCUCUACCAUCAUCCUUUGAGUCACGAUGGGUCAAUAUUUCUUCCUUCACCUCCAUGCUACCACUAAAAUUAGUCUUUACAGUUUCAAUAUCAUCUGGAUUUUCAACCGUGACUGCAAUUGGUUGUCCCACUGCCACAUCCUUUGAACCAUCUGGUGCCAGUAUCUUAGCCAAAUACCCCUCUUCAAGACUUUCAAAUUCAAGGGUGGCCUUGUCUGUCUCUAUCUCACAUAUGACUUCACCCAUUUCUAUCUUGUCUCCUUCUUUUUUUCUCCACUUGGCAAUAUUACCUUGGUUCAUUGUUGGUGAUAAUGCUGGCAUUCCAAGAACAAUGUGAGGAGGAAGUUGAGACGUGUUGAGCUUAAUAGAGGUGGUUCCUUUGUCUUCACUAUUGGAAUCCUUGUCAGAUGAUUUUUCCUCUUCAACCUGUGCUCCACUGCUGGCAGUUGCUGGGACAUUUUGGAUAUCAUCUGCAUCCUCAACCGUUAUUGCGAUGGGUUGUCCUACAGGAAUAUCCUUUGAACCUUCAGGUGCCAGUAUAUUUUGGCCAAAAACCCUUCUUCAAGACUUUCAAACUCAAGUGUAGCUUUAUCUGUCUCUAUUUCACACAGUACAUCGCCCACUUCUAUCUUAUCUCCUUCUUU